AUUGGAGGUGACGCCUGCCCCGAUGACCCCUCUUAACUAAAUAACUUUAGGGAACAAGGGUUCAAUGGCCGCGGUAUUUCUGACCGUGAUAAUGUAGCGAAAUCAAUCGUCACUUAAUUGCUGACCGGUAUGAAAGGUAUAACGAACGUUCCCCUGUCUCCUAAAAAGUGGCUAUGAAAUUGUAGGGGCCGUGCAUAUACGGCCCAUUCUCUGUAAGACGAAAAGACCCUAUUGAGCUUUACUAUACUCUUCCUGCUCUCCUAAAGUAACCUGGUAACCCCAGCUUUAUUUUAACCCUAGGAAGAGGGGUAGUUUCGUUGGGGCGACGACCUUCCAAACAGUAACGAAGGUUAACCAAGGUUCUUAAAUAGAAAGUAGCCUGACUGUUAGGGCUAUACCCCGCACAGACACUCCUGUGGGUCUAAGUGAUCCAUCCCGUUUUAAAAGACUGGAUGCCAAAACAUAAAAGUUACCAUAGGGAUAACAGCGUAAUUUUACUGAAGAGUUCUUAUCGAUAGUAAGAU
This 524-nucleotide ribosomal RNA is filed under the name Lucernaria janetae. RNAcentral describes it as "partial 16S ribosomal RNA". It matches the Rfam family "Bacterial large subunit ribosomal RNA", at positions 1845 to 2517 of the family's 2925-position model. Lineage: Eukaryota; Metazoa; Cnidaria; Staurozoa; Stauromedusae; Lucernariidae. The record is from RNAcentral.